GGGAGCCCUGCAGGCCCUAGGUGUGGGGUUUUAUAGUCUUAAUGAUGGUGAUUAGCGUGGCUCUUAAUUGAUUCUGCCAACACCUAACUGUGCCCUGGCCCCCUUUCCAACCUUCCUGGGGCAACUUUUGCCCCUUCUCUCCCUGAGGUGCUCGUGGGGGUGCAAGAGGUGCCUUGAGAAGAGGAUGGGAGGCCUUGCUGGAGCAUGGGGCCAUGGAACUGGAGAGAGGGAGCAGUGA
RNAcentral lists this long non-coding RNA (238 nucleotides) under Cavia porcellus (domestic guinea pig). RNAcentral describes it as "lncRNA (ENSCPOG00000039575.1)". The record is from RNAcentral. Lineage: Eukaryota; Metazoa; Chordata; Mammalia; Rodentia; Caviidae.